CCUACGGGCGGCAGCAGUAGGGAAUAUUGGUCAAUGGAUGCAAGUCUGAACCAGCCAUGCCGCGUGCAGGAAGAAGGCCUUAUGGGUUGUAAACUGCUUUUACCAGGGGAUAAAACGACCCUGCGGAGUUAAUUGAAGGUACCUGGUGAAUAAGCCACGGCUAACUACGUGCCAGCAGCCGCGGUAAUACGUAGGUGGCAAGCGUUGUCCGGAUUUAUUGGGUUUAAAGGGUGCGUAGGCGGUCUUUUAAGUCAGUGCUGAAAUACUCCAGCUUAACUGGAGGGGUGGCAUUGAUACUGGAAGACUUGAGUGCAGUCGAGGUAGGCGGAAUUGACGGUGUAGCGGUGAAAUGCUUAGAUAUCGUCAAGAACACCGAUAGUGAAGACAGCUUACUAGGCUGCAACUGACGCUGAGGCACGAAAGUGUGGGGAUCAAACAGGAUUAGAUACCCUGGUAGUC
RNAcentral lists this ribosomal RNA (459 nucleotides) under Megasphaera cerevisiae. Its description in RNAcentral is "bacterial SSU rRNA". It matches the Rfam family "Bacterial small subunit ribosomal RNA", at positions 338 to 795 of the family's 1533-position model. Lineage: Bacteria; Bacillati; Bacillota; Negativicutes; Veillonellales; Veillonellaceae. The record is from RNAcentral.